AAUGGGCGCAAGCCUGAUGCAGCCAUGCCGCGUGUGUGAAGAAGGCCUUAGGGUUGUAAAGCACUUUCAGUAAGGAGGAAAGGUUAGUAGUUAAUACCUGCUAGCUGUGACGUUACUUACAGAAGAAGCACCGGCUAACUCCGUGCCAGCAGCCGCGGUAAUACGGAGGGUGCGAGCGUUAAUCGGAAUUACUGGGCGUAAAGCGUACGCAGGCGGUUUGUUAAGCGAGAUGUGAAAGCCCCGGGCUCAACCUGGGAACUGCAUUUCGAACUGGCAAACUAGAGUAUGAUAGAGGGUGGUAGAAUUUCAGGUGUAGCGGUGAAAUGCGUAGAGAUCUGAAGGAAUACCGAUGGCGAAGGCAGCCACCUGGGUCAAUACUGACGCUCAUGUACGAAAGCGUGGGGAGCAAACGGGAUU
This 417-nucleotide ribosomal RNA is filed under the name uncultured Gammaproteobacteria bacterium. RNAcentral describes it as "bacterial SSU rRNA". It matches the Rfam family "Bacterial small subunit ribosomal RNA", at positions 370 to 779 of the family's 1533-position model. Lineage: Bacteria; Pseudomonadati; Pseudomonadota; Gammaproteobacteria. The record is from RNAcentral.